Octodon degus (degu) is the source of this 170-nucleotide small nuclear RNA. Its record names the gene U1. It matches the Rfam family "U1 spliceosomal RNA". From Rfam's summary of the family: U1 is a small nuclear RNA (snRNA) component of the spliceosome (involved in pre-mRNA splicing). Its 5' end forms complementary base pairs with the 5' splice junction, thus defining the 5' donor site of an intron. Lineage: Eukaryota; Metazoa; Chordata; Mammalia; Rodentia; Octodontidae. The record is from Ensembl.
AUACUUACGUGGCAGGGGAACUGCCAUGAUCAGGAAGGUGGUUUCCCCAGGGCGAGGCUCAUCCAUUGCACUCCGGAUGUGCUGAUUGAUCCCUGCAAUUUCCCUAAAUGUGGGAAACUAGACUGCAUAAUUUGUGGUAGUGGGGGAGACUGCAUUCGCUCUUUCCCCUG